This 317-nucleotide ribosomal RNA is filed under the name uncultured soil bacterium. Its description in RNAcentral is "bacterial SSU rRNA". It matches the Rfam family "Bacterial small subunit ribosomal RNA", at positions 26 to 345 of the family's 1533-position model. The record is from RNAcentral.
AGAUUGAACGCUGGCGGCAGGCCUAACACAUGCAAGUCGAGCGGUAGAGAGGUGCUUGCACCUCUUGAGAGCGGCGGACGGGUGAGUAAUGCCUAGGAAUCUGCCUAGUGGUGGGGGAUAACGUUCGGAAACGGACGCUAAUACCGCAUACGUCCUACGGGAGAAAGCGGGGGACCUUCGGGCCUCGCGCCAUUAGAUGAGCCUAGGUCGGAUUAGCUAGUUGGUGAGGUAAUGGCUCACCAAGGCGACGAUCCGUAACUGGUCUGAGAGGAUGAUCAGUCACACUGGAACUGAGACACGGUCCAGACUCCUACGGG